UAAGGUGGCAUGAGGCUAUACUGUUCUGUUAAUGUGAGUUGUCAGGACUAGAGUUAGUGCAGUACUACUGCUAAUUCUACCGAUCGAGGGCUAGCUCACCAGCAUAGCACUCUGCUCUCUGUUUGCCUUCACGAAAGAAUUAUAUACUACUCCCUCCGUCCCCAAAUAUAAGGCGUUCCGGAGUUUUUAGAACAGAUUAUGACUAUGUAGAAAAGACUCUCCUACCCCUAAUUAUUAAGCAUUGGGACUCUAUUUGGGUAACUAAAUAUUCUCAUACACCUCCUCUACAUGUACCUCCCUCUAUAUAGCUACAUGCAGAUUUUUCUGUUGGAAAAUACCUAGAAAUGAUACACAAUUAAGAUGAUUGGGUUCACUCUCAACCCAGAAUCCCUUACAUUUGAGUACAAAUUUAAACUCUAAAAUAUCAUACAUUUUAGGACAGAGGGAGGAGUGCAUAAUUAUGCCUGCACGAUCUUGUUGUUACUUCAACAUCCAAAUUAGAAGGAAAAUAUGUCCGUUACGUGUACCGUUCGUGAUCAUCGAUCCAUUCUUAAAAUGUUGUAAGAUCGUGAAUUAAUUAUUGUGCUCCAUGAAAGGUUAGUGCAGGUCCUGAUGCGUUGGAACUGUUGCGAAAUCUGGAGCCCACCUAGAUCCACGAACGCAGGAGCCUGUGGCCGUGCCGCCGCUUCAAGCCGUCGGCGCGAUUGUUCUGUCGCCGCCCUUGCCGCGGCAAGGCCCAUCCCGAGCAAAGUCGCAAGGGACAAGGGACCGUCAAAAGUAUCUGCUUCAGUUAUACCGGAUAUUGUUGAAGUUGAAAUCAUGAUGAGCAGUGUCAUUACUCCCGAAGAUGAAGGCCAUUGGCUGUGGAGAAAUGAUAUCUUAGGAAAUGUACAUUGGAUCCAGCUUUUCGGUCCCAGUUCUAACUCAGCGCACCAAAACUAUGGUGCAUGCACCUCUGCGGCGGUGGCGCCCUAGCCGGUGGCAUCCAAGUACUACGUAGCUGAGGACGAAGAAGGCCCGGUAGAGAAGAAGGCCAGGGGCAUUGCCGGUCAAUUUGCAGCUGAGGUCCAUGCUGGUCAUCAGUCGUGUCGUACCACGUAGAUGAAAUUGCAACAGGUGGCAUGCAACAGGCGUGGACGGCAGCAGCGCACGAGGUGGCGAGGACGAUGCACUGGAGGAAGAUCCUACCCAAACACCAUGACUCAUGCACGCAGGCAACGUCUGAUCCAAUUUGCAUCAGCAUCAAGCACGAUUGCUCCCUGUCCGCUGGUGCCGUGGAGGACUGCAGGUUGGCCUAGUGGAGGUGAGGAUGCCGGCGCUGCUAACAGAUGAUCAGGCCUGGCCCGGGGGGGGGGGGGGGGGAGGG
This is a long non-coding RNA of Panicum virgatum (switchgrass), 1366 nucleotides long. RefSeq lists it as uncharacterized. The record is from RefSeq and is a predicted model, not a curated record. NCBI's taxonomy places the organism in Eukaryota, Viridiplantae, Streptophyta, Magnoliopsida, Poales, Poaceae. The transcript has 4 exons.